Molecule: non-coding RNA, 28 nt
Filed under: Homo sapiens (human)
Lineage: Eukaryota; Metazoa; Chordata; Mammalia; Primates; Hominidae
Source: RNAcentral
UGCAUCUUGGAUGUUGGGAAUAAUGCUC